This 404-nucleotide ribosomal RNA is filed under the name Fusobacteriota bacterium. RNAcentral's name for it is "Fusobacteria bacterium partial 16S ribosomal RNA". It matches the Rfam family "Bacterial small subunit ribosomal RNA", at positions 355 to 776 of the family's 1533-position model. The record is from RNAcentral. Lineage: Bacteria; Fusobacteriati; Fusobacteriota.
UGGGGAAUAUUGCACAAUGGAGGGAACUCUGAUGCAGCGACGCCGCGUGAGUGAUGAAGGAAUUCGUUUCGUAAAACUCUGUUCUAUGGGAAGAAAAGGACUGUACCAUAGGAGAAAGCUCCGGAUAAAUACGUGCCAGCAGCCGCGGUAAUACGUAUGGAGCGAGCGUUGUCCGGAAUUAUUGGGCGUAAAGGGUGCGCAGGCGGCUUUACAAGUUGGAUGUGAAAUAUUGUGGCUCAACCACAAACGUGCAUCCAAAACUGCAAAGCUUGAGUUAAGGAGAGGUAAGUGGAAUUCCUGGUGUAGCGGUGGAAUGCGUAGAUAUCAGGAGGAAUACCGGUGGCGAAGGCGACUUACUGGACUUAAACUGACGCUCAGGCACGAAAGCGUGGGGAGCAAACAGG